This 163-nucleotide ribosomal RNA is filed under the name Arracacia xanthorrhiza (arracacha). Its description in RNAcentral is "5.8S ribosomal RNA". It matches the Rfam family "5.8S ribosomal RNA". From Rfam's summary of the family: 5.8S ribosomal RNA (5.8S rRNA) is a component of the large subunit of the eukaryotic ribosome. It is transcribed by RNA polymerase I as part of the 45S precursor that also contains 18S and 28S rRNA. Lineage: Eukaryota; Viridiplantae; Streptophyta; Magnoliopsida; Apiales; Apiaceae. The record is from RNAcentral. RNAcentral also lists the same sequence under 2 other names.
AAUGACUCUCGACAACGGAUAUCUCGGCUCUCGCAUCGAUGAAGAACGUAGCGAAAUGCGAUACUUGGUGUGAAUUGCAGAAUCCCGUGAACCAUCGAGUCUUUGAACGCAAGUUGCGCCCGAAGCCACUAGGCCGAGGGCACGCCUGCCUGGGUGUCACGCA